ACAAACGCUCACAUUCGUUGCAAUUUCGUUCAGAUAACGUCAAAUAAAUCACAAACGAAAACAUAGAAAACCGAAAAAACAGAAAAUUGAGUAAAUAUAAUUAAAGAACGUCACUACAUGGAUAUUUCUUUGAUCAUUAUAUUAAAAGAAAAAUAUUUGUUUCACAUCCCAGAAAAUUCAAAAUCAGAAAUAAAUGAAAACGCAUUUGUUUUAUGUGAAAUGUGAGCAUGAUUAACAAAGCAUUUUCCAAGGUGUGUGAUUAAAAUAAUUCUUGGAAGACCAACAAAUUUCUGUUAAGCUGGUCCAAAAGGCGCUGUCGUAGCUGCAAAUAUAACAGAAUCGAUUUAUUCGAAUAUUUCUUAAGUAAUACCUUUUUAAUACAAAUGAAAUGCAAGAAAAAGUUUCUUGUAAGUAAACAAUAGAGUUACUAUUACAUUAAAAAUAUAUUAAAAGCAUUUUUCGUUCUCAUUGAAAAAGAAUAUUUACAUUACUUGUUGAAAGGGAUUUCAACAUUUAUAAAGAUUGCUGAGAUUAAUUGCAACAAACAGUUCAUAUGAUUUGUCAAUAGUGUUAUAUUUACUACUUACAUUAUCGGAGUCAUAAGGAAUUUAUCAAAUUUUAUCGUGGCAAAUAUUUAUUUGAGACACUGGAUAUAGGGCAUAAGAAUGGCUCCUCUAUCUUGCCCAACUGACUCCAUCGAUUUCUGGAGAAAUGAGAUGCCAGAACGCGCCGAAGUCAGCUGCCUUAUGCCAAAUGGUAUUCUUAUUCUAACAGUAGUACCCAUUAAUUGUACUAUCCGGGAAAUCAAAACGGAAGUUAUUAGAGAGGCAAAAAACUUCCCGCUAUGUCAUUUAAUAAAAGAUCCUUGUGACUAUGAAGUCAGUGGUAUUUCAAAUUUUGCUAAUGUAGACUGUUUUACUGACGAAACCAAACGUCUAUCGGAAAUACAACCAUUUUUUUGUUUACUUCGUUUGGGAGAACGCACAGAACCCUCAACUAUAUCAAGUGAUUAUGAGCUAUCCAAGCUGGUUAGUAAUAUGAUUGGAAAAUCAUUUGAAGAAUAUAGCGCGCAACGGACACCGGAAGUAGAUGACUUUCGGCGCAAACUGACGCAUCUCUGUGAUAAAAUGGAACAAGUGCGGUCUCGCUUCACUUGGUCAGAGAAGUUGCUCUAUGAACAUCCCAUGCGUGUUGCAAAUACCCCCGCUAUGCCCGAACUAAUACGUAAACGACUGGGUGGUACAAGUUUUCUUAUUGUUGUUAAAUUAGAGAAUGACGAAGGCUCCUAUACAAUUCCUGUUAGUGAACACGAUACUUCAAGUACAGUGAUUGAAUCUGCACUAAUGAAGAUGCAGCGCUCUCAAAUAAGAGUAGGAGAUCGACCAUCAGACUAUAUACUAAAAGUACGUGGUCGCGACGAAUUUAUUUUCGGUGAAUACCCGAUUAUUCAGUUCAUAUAUAUACAGGAAAGUCUUUCCGGUUCCGAUGUUCCCAAUGUUGUUUUAAAACCUAUACACACACUACAAUCGUAUAUAAACUACAGGAAUGAUUUAAACUUUUCUCACAAGCGAACACGAAGGCCGGAAUAUAAUCCUCCAUCUUUGCUAAACGAUCCGUGCCAAGACCGAAAGGCCAUUUCAUCGUGGGACAUAUUAAGUCCUUUCAAAUUACGAAUUCAUCAAAUCGAGAAUGUAAAUUGUGAUCUCUCUCGCGCUAUCAAAGUGGGUGUACAUAUUGGUCUUUUCCAUGGAGAGCGUCGUCUUUGUGCAACACAGUCCAUUGAAAUAGCAAUUAGUAACAAUCGUUCAUUUACAUUCGAGAAAGACAUUUCUUUCGAUAUACAAGUACAAAAUUUGCCUCGAAUGGCGCGUUUAUGCAUGGUUGUCUACGAAGUAACGAAAGCAUCGAGAUCCAAAAAAUCUUCAAACUCAAAUCGCGAUAAUAUUUACAAAGAAGCCAAUACAUAUGUAAAUAACAACCCCUUGGCUUGGGUUAAUACGACCAUAUUUGACUACAAACAUCAAAUGCUAUCUGGCUGUAUAUCCCUCUACACAUGGACUUACGCAGAUGAUAUUCAGUCGGAGGAAAUUUUCCACCCCCUAGGUACGAUUGAACCAAAUCCUCGUAAAGAUGGAUGUGCUAUAGUUAAAUUAGCAUUUCAGUGUUCCAGUUAUGAAAAUAUACAGUUUCCAUCGAUGUUAGCGGUACUCAAGUAUGCAGAAGAGUUACAUCAUGGGGAAGUACUUAGUAGCGAUAAAUUACAUGAAAACUCCAAACCGAUCAGCGCUAUGCUCUCACAGUAUCUUCGCAUAGAUAAAGUAUAUGAAAUGCAUGAUCAAGAUCGCAAUGCACUAUGGUCGAGAAGAUAUGAAAUUUUGGCCGAAGCUCCUGAGGAGUUAUCUACUUUGUUGCACUGUGUUAAUUGGAACGAACGUGACGAAGUAGCAGAGACGUGGAAUUUAUUGCAACAAUGGCCUGCAAUAUCUGUAGAGAGAUCACUGGAAUUACUUGACUAUGCGUAUCCGGAUCCAGCGGUUCGAAGUUUCGCCAUACGCUGCCUCCGUUUUUUGAGAGAUGAGGAACUAUUGCUAUAUCUCUUACAACUGGUGCAAGCCAUGAAACAUGAGUCUUAUCUAGACUGCGAUUUAGUAACGUUUCUGCUCGAGCGGGCGUUGCGCAAUCAACGAAUUGGUCACUAUUUCUUUUGGCAUUUGCGAUCUGAAAUGCAAACUCUUUCCAUGCAGACUCGCUUUGGUCUAUUACUUGAAGGGUACCUCAAAGGUUGCAAACCACACGUGCCUCACCUUUGCAAACAACUAAAAGUUUUAGACGCCCUCAAAGCUGGUUCUCUGAUUGCAAAAAAAGGAAGCAAAGAAAAAGGUCGAAAGGAGAUGCAAGACUUUCUUUCCAGUCCAAGCAAUAGUAGUAUAUUCCAGAGCAUACAAAACCCAUUGAAUCCCAGUUUUCGAUGCAAAGGUAUACAGCCAGAAAAAUGCAAAGUAAUGGACUCGAAAAUGAGACCACUCUGGAUUGUGCUAAAAAACGCGGAUCAAAGUUGUAAUGAUAUUUAUAUAAUAUUUAAAAAUGGCGACGAUUUACGGCAGGAUAUGUUAACAUUGCAAAUGUUGCGUGUCAUGGACCAAUUGUGGAAAAAUGAAGGUAUGGAUUUUCGCAUGAAUAUUUACAACUGCAUUAGUAUGGAACGUCGUUUAGGAAUGAUUGAAGUGGUGCUAAAUGCUGAAACAAUCGCCAAUAUUCAAAAAGAGAAGGGUAUGUUCUCAGCAACAUCACCAUUUAAGAAAGGCUCCCUAUUUAGUUGGUUGAAGGAAUAUAAUCGUACUGAAGAAGAAAUGAAUAAAGCAAUAAACGAAUUUACAUUGAGUUGCGCUGGAUAUUGUGUAGCCACAUAUGUUCUAGGUGUAGCCGAUCGACAUUCAGAUAACAUAAUGGUUAAACGUAACGGGCAGCUUUUUCAUAUUGACUUCGGUCACAUACUAGGCCACUUUAAAGAGAAAUUUGGUGUGCGUCGUGAGAGAGUUCCUUUUGUAUUAACGCAUGAUUUUGUAUAUGUCAUAAGUAAAGGACGUAACGACCGAGAUUCGGAAGAAUUUCUUUAUUUUCAAAAUAUGUGCGAAAAGGCAUUUUUGGUGUUACGAAAACAUGGCUGUCUUAUAUUAUCUCUAUUUUCAAUGAUGAUUUCAACCGGACUACCAGAACUAUCCUCUGAAAAAGAUCUUAAUUACUUAAAGGAAACUCUAGUUCUUGACUAUACCGAGGAGAAAGCCCGCGAACACUUCCGUUCAAAGUUUAGCGAAGCUUUAGUCAACUCUUGGAAAACUUCUUUAAAUUGGGCUUCGCAUAAUUUUUCAAAAAAUAAUAAGCAGUAGACAAAUGCAUUUAAAGUAUUAACGCAUAAAUCAGCAUUUUGAAUUUGAGUUAAAACAAAUUCUAAUGGUAGUAAUAGCUCUGUAAUUCGCUGUAAUAUGCUGCCACUCACAACAUUGAUUACGUUAAGCCUUCAUGAGUAAUGUUUCAAACACUUGGAAACUCAUUAAUACUUUUAAAUUUUUCCAAAUACAUAAAUUAAUUAGUACCAAAAA
RNA transcript from Bactrocera neohumeralis, 4100 nucleotides. It is a transcript of the gene named phosphatidylinositol 4,5-bisphosphate 3-kinase catalytic subunit delta isoform, with no coding region annotated. The transcript is spliced from 11 exons. The record is from RefSeq and is a predicted model, not a curated record. NCBI's taxonomy places the organism in Eukaryota, Metazoa, Arthropoda, Insecta, Diptera, Tephritidae.